GCUGUUUCACACAUUUCUACCAAAUCGUCCCGUUUAUUUUUCUUUGGUGAGCUAACUGUAUGGUGAAUUGAAAGGCCAUAAAGCUAGUUCAGCAAGGCAAGAUAUUCGAGACAUAGCUUCAUGAAAUGUGACUGAAAUU
This is a non-coding RNA of Apis mellifera (honey bee), 139 nucleotides long. Lineage: Eukaryota; Metazoa; Arthropoda; Insecta; Hymenoptera; Apidae. The record is from RefSeq and is marked provisional.